This 2271-nucleotide long non-coding RNA is filed under the name Olea europaea (common olive). RNAcentral describes it as "long non-coding RNA (OEUR_LNC007952)". The record is from RNAcentral. Lineage: Eukaryota; Viridiplantae; Streptophyta; Magnoliopsida; Lamiales; Oleaceae.
UCCACUGCAAAGAUUAAGAAAAAAACUCUUGUUACAUCUAAACACGGUGAUUGAACACAUAAAUUUUUCCUUUUAUUGGCAUGGAUUUGUAACUGUAUCAAUAGUGAAAAUCAACAUUAAAGCCACCAUAAUGAUUAAGUCAUUAAGAAAACAUCAAGAAUAGUGCAGUGGCAGGACAAAAACCUAUGGCUUGAUAUUGAUGUUGCAUUUUAGCUCUUGCUGAAGAUCCUCAACAGUGAGAAUUUUCCCACUUGUAACUGGAACAGAAAGUUUGGAUAUUACCUAAUAGAUGAUGAAUGAGUCGAAUGGCAACUUGCCAUUAAAAAGAAGAAACAUAUAGGGUAAUUAGCACAAAACGUCCCUACCUUUAGAGGUUAUUGUGGAAAACGUCUUUACCUUUCAUUUUUUGGUAUUUUUGCCCUUAUUUGAAUCUUUCGUUGCGCUGAAGGUCCUUUUCACUCUUUUGGAACGGAAAAUGACAAUUAUACCCUCUUAUUAAAACAAAAAACCAAAAAAAAAAAAGAAAAAUUCAGAACAAAUUCCAACCCUAACCCUAGACUUAUAAAAAAGAAUUGAGUCCCCAAAUUAAUUCAGAACAAUUCACUAGCCUAAAGGUCGCAGCCGAUAAAUCAUCUCUUUCAUUUGCUCGAUAGCUUGUGAAUCGGGUUCAUCCAUGGAGGAUGCAGAUGAGAUAGGCAGGUUGAAGUUUGUGUUUGAUGAAUUUGAAUGAUAAUCUGAUCUGGACUUCUUGGAUUUCUGAGGAUUAGACGAACGAUUCGACUGAUGAAAAUCAAGAUUUUGGAACUGUAAUCCAUUUGGUUUGAUCAGUUGACUUUCUGAUCUGCUUCUCUUGUUAGGACUAGGCUUAUUAUUAGCACCUGAAAAACUGGAUUGAAUGACAUAUUCAUCAGUCGAAGCUUGUGAUACUGUUUUGUUGGUGUAAUGUUUUACAGUGGAUGCAGAUGUGCCGUCUGAUUUGAUGAGGGCGCUUGAAUUUGGAUUCCAUGAGUCUUUGCAAUCAGAGAAAAGCAUGGAAAUCUUAGCCAAUCAACUGAUGUUCUGUUUUGCUGUUGGUUGCUGAUAACAAGCAAUCAAUGGAUUCUAGAUAGCCCGGAUUCGAAAUUCCAGCCUUGAUUUCUUGAAGACCACCAAAAACUUGUCGAUUUUCCAGGCCGAAUUCAGCACCAAGGCAAUUUUGUUGAUUAAUCAUUGUAGAAUUAGGCCUAUUAACUUUGGCAGAACUCGUUUGGCCAUUAAUGGCGACUCCAGAACUUGUCGAUUUUGGAGUCAUUGCCGACAUAUUUCAGUUUAAAGAACCCAACUGCUGAAUCAUCUCAAAUUUUUGGAGCGAUAGAAUUGGACUUAAAAAAUAGUUUGAAAGACAACCAUUCGACUUGGAAAUUAUCAGAACGGUGAAUUGUUGUGAAUUCAUGGGUCGUAUGUGUAGAGGAGAGUGAGAGAUUUCCGAUGGUAUGGAGAUCCAGUGGUUGGCCUGAGUUUUUUGGCUUGAAAUGUGGAAGUGGAGGGGGGAGGAAGAGAAGAGAAAGUGUUCUUUUUGUUAUUUUCAAUAUUUUAAAUAUUGGGGACUCAUUUGCGCUUUUUUAAAAGUUUAGGGGUAGGGUUGCAAUUAGUUUUGAAUUUUUCUUCGUUAUUUUUUUAGUUUUUUGUUUUAAUAAGAGGGUAUAAUUAUCAUUUUCCGUUCCAAAAUAGUUAAAAGGACCUUCAGCACAACGAAAGGUUCAAAUAAGGGCAAAAAUGCCAAAAAAUGAAAGAUAUGGACGUUUUCCACAAUAACCUCGAAAGACAUGGACGUUUUGCGCCAAUUACCCAAACAUAUAAGAAAAGGCAAUCUACCUUUUCAAGGGUUGCCCAAAAUUCUAAAUUAACUAGAUGAGAAUUAUCAACAUUUAAUUGUCACUACAUGACUUAAAACCAGUAAAAUAAUUAAAUUUCAGCUUGUAUGUGAAAUUAUUUAAGUGAAUAAUUGAUAUUUUCAAAACCCAUAAAUCUAUUUGACUUCUGCAUAUAUGCUAGGUUGGAAAAGCAUAUGGAUUAAUUCUAAAAUCCCUUUUGGCACAUUCUUAUAACCACCUUCGUAAAUCAAUCCACAUCUACCAUACACAUCGCUGGCACCCAUAAAAAUUAUCAAUCGAAAAUCUGCAGAUGCAAUUCCAAUAGAAAAUUCAAGAUUAUCCCCAUUCCUCACAACGUCAACGAUGUUAAACCAAAGGAAAAACAAUUUAACACUAACCUCAGAAAGGCUGGUCAGCU